CAGAUUUAGAAAAGAAAGAAAGAAAGAAAGAAAAAGAACUUGAAAGACACACAAAGUAGUUUGCCAAGGCUCAAAAGUUUUUGGAGCCGUGAGGGAUACAGCAGUUUGGUCAAUAUUGUUUUAACAUGCUUCAAAUAAAUCAGAGAUAAUCACUGCUAAGCAUUUUGGGGUGUAUACUUCUAGAUUUUUUUCCUAUGCAG
Molecule: non-coding RNA, 200 nt
Organism: Puma concolor (puma)
Lineage: Eukaryota; Metazoa; Chordata; Mammalia; Carnivora; Felidae
Source: RefSeq, a predicted model, not a curated record